GAUUAACGCUGGCGGCGUGCAUAACACAUGCAAGUCGAACGAUGAAACUUAACUGAUUUCUUCGGAAUGAUUUUAAGUGGAUUAGUGGCGGACGGGUGAGUAACGCGUGAGUAACCUGCCUUGGAGAAGGGGAUAGCCUUUGGAAACGAAGAAUAAUACCCUAUGAUAUGAUAAUAUCUCAUGAUAUUAUCAUCAAAGAUUUAUCGCUCUAAGAUGGACUUGCGUCUGAUUAGUUAGUUGGUGAGGUAACAGCUCACCAAGGCAGCGAUCAGUAGCCGGCUUGAGAGAGUGUACGGCCACAUUGGGACUGAGACACGGCCCAGACUCCUACGGGAGGCAGCAGUGGGGAAUUUUGCACAAUGGGGGAAACCCUGAUGCAGCGACGCCGCGUGAUUUAGAAGGCCUUCGGGUUGUAAAAAUCUUUUGUAUGGGAAGAAAAUGACAGUACCAUACGAAUAAGGACCAGCUAAUUACGUG
RNAcentral lists this ribosomal RNA (477 nucleotides) under uncultured bacterium. RNAcentral describes it as "partial 16S ribosomal RNA". It matches the Rfam family "Bacterial small subunit ribosomal RNA", at positions 28 to 507 of the family's 1533-position model. The record is from RNAcentral.